AUUUCAAGGGGGGGCACCUGUCGCAGCACGCCGCGUGCGGGAUGACGGCCUUCGGGUUGUAAACCGCUUUCAGCAGGGAAGACCGACGGACGGUACCUGCAGAAGAAGCCCCGGCUAACUACGUGCCAGCAGCCGCGGUAAUACGUAGGGGGCGAGCGUUAUCCGGAUUCAUUGGGCGUAAAGCGCGCGUAGGCGGCGCGCCAAGCGGAACCUCUAACCUCGGGGCUCAACCUCGAGCCGGGUUCCGAACUGGCGCGCUCGAGUUCGGUAGAGGCAGGCGGAAUUCCCGGUGUAGCGGUGGAAUGCGCAGAUAUCGGGAAGAACACCGAUGGCGAAGGCAGCCUGCUGGGCCGACACUGACGCUGAGGUGCGAAAGCUAGGGGAGCGAACAGGAUUAGAUACCCUGGUAGUCCUAGCCGUAAACGAUGGACGCUAGGUGUGGGGAGGAUCGCCUCUCCGUGCCGAAGCCAACGCAUUAAGCGUCCCGCCUGGGGAGUACGGCCGCAAGGCUAAAACUCAAAGGAAAUUG
This 529-nucleotide ribosomal RNA is filed under the name uncultured bacterium. RNAcentral describes it as "bacterial SSU rRNA". It matches the Rfam family "Bacterial small subunit ribosomal RNA", at positions 361 to 913 of the family's 1533-position model. The record is from RNAcentral.